Molecule: ribosomal RNA, 253 nt
Filed under: uncultured bacterium
Lineage: Bacteria
Description: partial 16S ribosomal RNA
Rfam family: Bacterial small subunit ribosomal RNA
Source: RNAcentral
CGGAAGGUCCAGGUGUUAUCCGGAUUUAUUGGGUUUAAAGGGAGUGUAGGCGGUCUGUUAAGCGUGUUGUGAAUUUAGGUGCUCAACAUUUAACUUGCAGCGCGAACUGGCGGACUUGAGUGCACGCAACGUAUGCGGAAUUCAUGGUGUAGCGGUGAAAUGCUUAGAUAUCAUGACGAACUCCGAUUGCGAAGGCAGCGUACGGGAGUGUUACUGACGCUUAAGCUCGAAGGUGCGGGUAUCGAACAGGAUU